GGUUUUCGGACCUAGAGACCGGCGCACGGGUGCGUAACGCGUAUGCAAUCUACCUUUCACAGAGGGAUAGCCCAGAGAAAUUUGGAUUAAUACCUCAUAGUAUAAUACAAUCGCAUGAUUGAAUUAUUAAAGUCACAACGGUGAAAGAUGAGCAUGCGUCCCAUUAGCUAGUUGGUAAGGUAACGGCUUACCAAGGCGACGAUGGGUAGGGGUCCUGAGAGGGAGAUCCCCCACACUGGUACUGAGACACGGACCAGACUCCUACGGGAGGCAGCAGUGAGGAAUAUUGGACAAUGGGCGCAAGCCUGAUCCAGCCAUGCCGCGUGCAGGAUGACGGUCCUAUGGAUUGUAAACUGCUUUUAUACGAGAAGAAACACCUCUACGAGUAGAGACUUGACGGUAUCGUAAGAAUAAGGAUCGGCUAACUCCGUGCCAGCAGCCGCGGUAAUACGGAGGAUCCAAGCGUUAUCCGGAAUCAUUGGGUUUAAAGGGUCCGUAGGCGGUCAGAUAAGUCAGUGGUGAAAGCCCAUCGCUCAACGGUGGAACGGCCAUUGAUACUGUCUGACUUGAAUUAUUAGGAAGUAACUAGAAUAUGUAGUGUAGCGGUGAAAUGCUUAGAGAUUACAUGGAAUACCAAUUGCGAAGGCAGGUUACUACUAAUGGAUUGACGCUGAUGGACGAAAGCGUGGGUAGCGAACAGGAUUAGAUACCCUGGUAGUCCACGCCGUAAACGAUGGAUACUAGCUGUUGGAAGCAAUUUCAGUGGCUAAGCGAAAGUGAUAAGUAUCCCACCUGGGGAGUACGUUCGCAAGAAUGAAACUCAAAGGAAUUGACGGGGGCCCGCACAAGCGGUGGAGCAUGUGGUUUAAUUCGAUGAUACGCGAGGAACCUUACCAAGGCUUAAAUGUAGAUUGACCGGUUUGGAAACAGACUUUUCGCAAGACAAUUUACAAGGUGCUGCAUGGUUGUCGUCAGCUCGUGC
Molecule: ribosomal RNA, 982 nt
Filed under: Flavobacterium psychrolimnae
Lineage: Bacteria; Pseudomonadati; Bacteroidota; Flavobacteriia; Flavobacteriales; Flavobacteriaceae
Description: bacterial SSU rRNA
Rfam family: Bacterial small subunit ribosomal RNA
Source: RNAcentral